Molecule: ribosomal RNA, 409 nt
Filed under: bacterium
Lineage: Bacteria
Description: partial 16S ribosomal RNA
Rfam family: Bacterial small subunit ribosomal RNA
Source: RNAcentral
UGGGGAAUAUUGCACAAUGGGCGAAAGCCUGAUGCAGCGACGCCGCGUGAGGGAUGACGGCCUUCGGGUUGUAAACCUCUUUCAGUAGGGACGAAGCGCAAGUGACGGUACCUGCAGAAGAAGCACCGGCUAACUACGUGCCAGCAGCCGCGGUAAUACGUAGGGUGCGAGCGUUGUCCGGAAUUACUGGGCGUAAAGAGCUCGUAGGCGGUUUGUCACGUCGUCUGUGAAAUCCUAGGGCUUAACCCUGGACGUGCAGGCGAUACGGGCUGACUUGAGUACUACAGGGGAGACUGGAAUUUCUUGUGUAGCGGUGGAAUGCACAGAUAUCAGGAAGAACACCGAUGGCGAAGGCAGGGCUCUGGGUAGUAACUGACGCUGAGGAGCGAAAGCAUGGGUAGCGAACAGG